GGUGCAAACGGGGUGCUCCUGCUUUGGGGAGCAGUUGUCCAAAAGAGGCUUGGGGAGCUUCUGCACCAGUGGGGCUAGUAGCUUUUUUUUGUUCAAGUCUUGGUUUAGUAGGGGAGCAAAUGAAAAUGGGUAUGUGAAAGCUCUCCUGUUAGGCAGAAUAUUUCAGACUCUGUGUUCAAGCUGUAUUUUAAUCAAGGGUAUCAAAAAUACAGAGAGAGUUUGUCACACAGACUGAGCGUUAAGGAUAUUUUAACAGGCAGAAAGAAGGAUGAGCGAGAGCUUAGCAAACUAACAUAGGCCUGGAAAAUAAGAUUCGAUGACCUUUUAAUCACUGGCUUUCUCAGUAUGUAGAGGAAGACAAUUUAUUUUCCCAGUGCUUCAGCUGCUUUCUGUACAGUGGGGAUAAUAACACUACUUGAAAUAAGCCUUGUAGGGGGAAAUGUUAAAUAUUGGCAGCUGCUUAUGGGUUUACAAUUAAAGAAUCACACUAGCUAUUUACUUCGGGCGAGUAAAUGCUAUGUGUAGAUACAGAAUUUCAAAGUAAAAGUGGUCAUGAAAUCAUGACAUGGUAAGGCACUCCUCUCAGACUGUGACCAGAGGGUACCGGAGGACCUGUGGUAUUUUAUGAGACAUCUGUACCAUGAGCUAAAAAACCAACUGGACAUUAAAGAGCCUUUGACAAUCUUCAGAGGAAAAGACGAGUUAUCACCUUUAAAUCUGAAAUUAGAGAUAAUUACAUUUUCCUCCCUUAAUCACCCUGUAGUUCCAAUUAGGGAUGCUAUUUCUCACUUUCUCUCCCAAAGUGUGGCGCAAUGCCGCUAUGCAUUAGUGAACAGCUGCCUUACUUGACCCCAGUGGUGACUGCUUCUUGGCAGUGGAUGAAACGAGCCACGCCGAUUCCUUGACUACAUCACAGGGAUAUUGUGACUGGCUUAAUUAGAUAAUGCUCAAGAAGCGUUGUGAGAUACUUGGCUUAAAAGCAUUAUGUAAGGCCAAAUUAAUUAUGAGUAUUAAUACAAUCUUGAUCUAAAGAGUAAUUUGAAUAAGGGAUAAAAUAAUAACGAGAUCUUUGUGAGUCACGUACAGAGUGCUUUGCUUCUCCACAUAAAACAUCUCCCACGUCAUUUAAAAUGUUUCCGCGGAGCAGAGCAGGGCAGUGCCGCUCAGAAGUGACAGGAAUAUGCGCUGCCAGAUGUGAGUCAUCGCUGAACUCCAGCACUCCUUUCUUUGUUCACAUUUCAAGCACAAGACACCCUGUUCCCUAUGACAAGAGUUGCCUGCAGAUGCCAGAACAUGAAAUGAGGAACCCGCCAGACAAGGUGGGGUUGUUUGGUUUUGUUUUGAAGUUUGGGGGAUUAUCUUCAUUCCCUGUGCAGAUCUGUGGUGACAAGGCACAACCAUCCUUGUCCCUGGGUGAAAUCCUGGCACUUCUGAAAUCAAGGAAAUGUUCCCUUUGACUUCAGUGGAACCAGGAUUUCCACCACGUACAUGUUUCAGUGCUGUGUUCUUUCAGGUAAGGAAAUGUGGAAGUGCUGGAAACGAUGUGAAUUUACGUAGCCAUGUAGUCAUUUUCCCUACAAAAAUAGAAAAAUCAGACUGAACUGAACUGACUGAUCUCCAAAUCUGUCUUGAUGGCUGUGUGGCCAGCACAGGCUUCCACUGCAGCUUUUUGCUUGGUAAGCUUUAUAUAUUUUGUGGAUACCUAGAAAGUUUGGUAUCAGCUUUAUUUUAAUGAAAUCUGAGCACGUGGAGAACAGAUUUCUAAGUCUAAACUUUUUAUAUUGCUAUGGUAGAUUCUUUUGAUUAAAGACACAUAUCUACAGUACUCUAGGAUGAACUGAGUUGCUCCCUAGAUCUGCACUGAUGCUAAGAGGAGUCUACAGUAUUGGACAAAUAUCUCUAAUGACUACUCUUCACACAAACUCCACUUAUAAGGCCAGACUUCCACAUGCAGACUUCCUGGUUAUGUAAAACCUGAGCUGCCUGACUAAAGCCAAGCAUAUAAAUGACAUUCUGAAUAUUUAGUUCUAGUCCUUUUAUUUUUAUUUACUUCUGUGCUUCAUUACAAUGAGAGAUACAUGUUUUUGUGUUUCGGGGAUUAUAAUUACUCGUGUCCAUAGAGCAGCUCACCAGAGAGUAUAAUUAUUGCUCACACAAGGCAAGAAUAAGAUUAGAAAGUCGGACACGGUCAUGACUCUUACAUUUUAAUUUGUUCACCUCCUGGUAGCACCUAACAGAUCACCUACGCCUGUCCUAAUUUUUCAAUACAAAGAGAUUAAACUCCUGCCUCCGUGAGGCAGAUAUUUUUUGUGAGGAAGAUAUUCAUACCGGAAAAUGAAGUUCACCUUACUCACAAAGACAUAGAGCUGUCCGAAUCGCCACCUGCGGCAGGGACGGGGACGGCACCCAGGGCAGCUGGCCACGUGUGCACCACAGCCGAUGUCCCAGAAAUGUCCGAGGCCACAGAGACACGACAGACAGCGCUGGGUGCACAGGGAUGGAGGGCGUCCUCUUUUUGGGGAGAAUUCAAGCAAGGUCUUGGGGCAAGCUGCGUAUCUACCACAGCUGGAGAGAUUGAUUCAGGCUGGAGGUGACAUAUCCAUCGCUCGUGAGCCACGUGUAGACCAAGAAUCGGUUUGACGUGGCCUCUGAGGACUCCUUGAAGAUGGGGGCUACCGCGGGGAUGGCCAGAGAGGCAUCUAUUUCCAGGUGGAACCUGGUCCAGAAUUCAAAAGUGCUUUUAGUGCAGGAAGACACUGGCCUGCCCCUUACUCGCCUGGAGAGCGGGCGCAGAGGGAGGGAGGGUGCUGCCUGGCACAGGUACCUGCUCCUUUGCUAUUACACUGGCCUGUGCACUGCUGACGCUUCUGGUUUCUUCUGUUUUCUGUCUGGUGCACAGUUUAAUUUCCUGAGAACUCUCAUGCUUCAGUACAACAAAAGUCUCCAGGCUUUAACAUAGCAUGUCUGGUAAGACAUUAUGGUUUGUGCUAUAUGUUGGGCUAAGCCAAACAAGUUAAGCUCUAUCAAGCAGUAAAAACUGGCAACGUCCCUUCUUUGUCUAUUACCAGUGAAACCUGGACCUCUAAAUCACUGAAAAAGAUCUGGUACUCAGACUUUGCCCGGGCUGAAUUACUCCGAGUUUGUGCGAAGAUUUUCCUCCUCCGCAGGGAGUCCUGACCAUCUCCUCAGAGCCAUAUUGAACAGCAUGCAUUCAUGAGCUUAGUUUGGGAACUACAUCCCUAGCUAUAAUGUUGCCCAAGAUUUCUCCAUGAGGCCUUGGUAAGGUACGUGAGACCACGUAGAGAUGGCCAUCCCACUCUCCGUGCUACAACCAAGUGAACAGAGCAGCCGCUUUUCCCUCUAUGCACUCAGUUGAGAUCUUCCCUUUCACUGUGUCACCAUGUACGGCUUCCUGCUCUGACUCCAGAAAAACUGUCUGUCUUGACGACAGGGUAAGGAACAGCAGAAUUUCUCAUGUGCCAUUCUUUUUCCUGAACCUGGUUUAUAUUUGAUCACAACCAUUUUGGUAUUAGAAGCCAGGUACCAUACAUGACCAUUAGAAGAUUUGUUGAAUGUGACAUCUCACAUUUUUAUUGAAGUGAAGCAAGGAUUAUAAUUUUUUAAUUCUACCCAGGACCAGAACCCUCAUAAGAGUUGUACACACUUGCAAUUUUAACGACUUAAAAGUACCACUUAUCUCAUGCCUGAGUUUAGCCCAAAAUGACUCGCUACAAAACAAUAAAUUUUUUUUCAGAGAUUUGUCUCCAUUACAGAAAUGCUGGAAGUGAUAAGAGGAGAGCGAGCAAGCUGUUUGUAAAUAUUACUUAUUCUGUUUUAACAUCUCUUAGUAGUAAAUGUUCACAAACAAGCAUAAAUUGAGAAGUUCAUUCUGCAUAUUUUACCUUCAUUUUACCUGUUUCUUUUAUCGGACUUAUGUCUGACUGUAUGAUUUUAAGUGGUUUUUCAAAAUUGCUUCAAAAAAGAUGCUUCUGUAGAGUUUGCAUAUACUUGAUAUAUAUAUAUCUUCGGAAUGAUUUGUUCUUGUGCAUGCUUUUAGUUACAGAAUAAAGACUGCUUAAACUUUUA
Long non-coding RNA from Harpia harpyja (harpy eagle), 4086 nucleotides. RefSeq lists it as uncharacterized. The record is from RefSeq and is a predicted model, not a curated record. The transcript has 2 exons. NCBI's taxonomy places the organism in Eukaryota, Metazoa, Chordata, Aves, Accipitriformes, Accipitridae.